AUAUUGCACAAUGGGCGAAAGCCUGAUGCAGCGACGCCGCGUGAGGGAUGACGGCCUUCGGGUUGUAAACCUCUUUCAGCAGGGACGAAGCGCAAGUGACGGUACCUGCAGAAGAAGCACCGGCUAACUACGUGCCAGCAGCCGCGGUAAUACGUAGGGUGCAAGCGUUGUCCGGAAUUACUGGGCGUAAAGAGUUCGUAGGCGGUUUGUCGCGUCGUUUGUGAAAACCAGCGGCUCAACUGCUGGCUUGCAGGCGAUACGGGCAGACUUGAGUACUGCAGGGGAGACUGGAAUUCCUGGUGUAGCGGUGAAAUGCGCAGAUAUCAGGAGGAACACCGGUGGCGAAGGCGGGUCUCUGGGCAGUAACUGACGCUGAGGAACGAAAGCGUAGGUAGCGAACAGG
RNAcentral lists this ribosomal RNA (403 nucleotides) under uncultured bacterium. RNAcentral's name for it is "bacterial SSU rRNA". It matches the Rfam family "Bacterial small subunit ribosomal RNA", at positions 361 to 776 of the family's 1533-position model. The record is from RNAcentral.